CCUACGGGUAGCAGCAGUGGGGAAUAUUGGACAAUGGGCGAAAGCCUGAUCCAGCCAUGCCGCGUGUGUGAAGAAGGCCUUCGGGUUGUAAAGCACUUUCAGUGGGGAAGAAAGCCUUGGGGCUAAUACCCUCGAGGAAGGACAUCACCCACAGAAGAAGCACCGGCUAACUCCGUGCCAGCAGCCGCGGUAAUACGGAGGGUGCGAGCGUUAAUCGGAAUUACUGGGCGUAAAGCGCGCGUAGGCGGUCUGAUAAGCCGGUUGUGAAAGCCCCGGGCUCAACCUGGGAACGGCAUCCGGAACUGUCAGGCUAGAGUGCAACAGAGGAAGGUAGAAUUCCCGGUGUAGCGGUGAAAUGCGUAGAGAUCGGGAGGAAUACCAGUGGCGAAGGCGGCCUUCUGGACUGACACUGACGCUGAGGUGCGAAAGCGUGGGUAGCAAACAGGAUUAGAUACCCCAGUAGUC
Molecule: ribosomal RNA, 465 nt
Filed under: Vreelandella stevensii
Lineage: Bacteria; Pseudomonadati; Pseudomonadota; Gammaproteobacteria; Oceanospirillales; Halomonadaceae
Description: partial 16S ribosomal RNA
Rfam family: Bacterial small subunit ribosomal RNA
Source: RNAcentral